Molecule: transfer RNA, 74 nt
Filed under: Vittaforma corneae ATCC 50505
Lineage: Eukaryota; Fungi; Microsporidia; Nosematidae
Description: tRNA-Ile (AAT) (tRNA-Ile-AAT-1-1)
Rfam family: tRNA
About the family: Transfer RNA (tRNA) molecules are approximately 80 nucleotides in length. Their secondary structure includes four short double-helical elements and three loops (D, anti-codon, and T loops).
Source: Rfam by way of RNAcentral
GCUCUGAUAGCUCAGUUGGUUAGAGCGUCGUGCUAAUAACGCGAAGGUCCGGGGUUCGAACCCCCGUCGGAGCA